GAUGAACGCUGGCGGCGUGCCUAAUACAUGCAAGUCGAGCGAACAGAUGAGGAGCUUGCUCCUCUGACGUUAGCGGCGGACGGGUGAGUAACACGUGGAUAACCUACCUAUAAGACUGGGAUAACUUCGGGAAACCGGAGCUAAUACCGGAUAAUAUAUUGAACCGCAUGGUUCAAUAGUGAAAGACGGUUUUGCUUUCACUUAUAGCUUGAUCCGCGCCGCAUUAGCUAGUUGGUAAGGUAACGGCUUACCAAGGCAACGAUGCGUAGCCGACCUGAGAGGGUGAUCGGCCACACUGGAACUGAGACACGGUCCAGACUCCUACGGGAGGCAGCAGUAGGGAAUCUUCCGCAAUGGGCGAAAGCCUGACGGAGCAACGCCGCGUGAGUGAUGAAGGUCUUCGGAUCGUAGAACUCUGUUAUUAGGGAAGAACAAAUGUGUAAGUAACUAUGCACGUAUUGACGGUACCUAAUCAGAAAGCCACGGCUAACUACGUG
Molecule: ribosomal RNA, 497 nt
Filed under: uncultured bacterium
Lineage: Bacteria
Description: partial 16S ribosomal RNA
Rfam family: Bacterial small subunit ribosomal RNA
Source: RNAcentral